This 1721-nucleotide long non-coding RNA is filed under the name Homo sapiens (human). RNAcentral describes it as "HSALNT0267309". The record is from RNAcentral. Lineage: Eukaryota; Metazoa; Chordata; Mammalia; Primates; Hominidae.
CUAAACCUCUUUCCUUUAUACAUUACCCAGUCUCAGGUAUGUCUUUAUUAGCAGCUUGAGAACAGACUAAUACAGCCUCUCAUGGAACUAAAUCCAUUGCCUCAGCUCUGCAUUUGGCAAGCCAGGUGUGGCUACCCAUGUCCUGUGUAGGCCCAUGUCUGGUACUUCCUUAACCUUAGGGUGGCUCUUCUCUUUGAGGUAGAGGGGAUAUCCUAUGCAGAAUGAGUGGAGCUCUGCCUUUCCUCCCACACUCAGUGAAUUCUGGGAAACAGAAGACUUAGCAAUGGCCUUCUGUAUGCUCGCACGCAUUUCUCACAAUGCACAGGGGUUCCUAACAUGAAAAUGUCUCAAGACAGCCCUGGGCAUUGGGCCCCCAGGGUAGGUGUGGAAUUGGAAAUGCACUUGGAAGGUGGUCCUGAGGGACCCUGGCAUACAGGAGGCUACCAUGCUCUUCUGAUACCCAGUGCCUUGCUGUUCCAUUUGUUACCACAGUGAAAGCCACUUGAAAGUCAUCUCCAUGAUGAAAUGAUCAGCAAUUUACGGAAUGAAAUAAACCUUUAUUUAUUAUUAUUAUUUUUUUAUUUUUUGAGACACAGUCUCACUCUGUCACCCAGGCUGGAGUGCAGUGGCACGAUUUCAGCUCCCUGCAACCUCCACCUCCAAGGUUCAAGCGAUUCUCGUGCCUCAGCCUCCUGAGUAGCUCGUAUUACAGGCAUGUGUCACCAUACCCAGCUAAUUUUUGUUUUGUUUUGUUUUAGUAGAGACAGCGUUUCACCAUGUUGCCCAGGCUGGUUUCCAACUCCUGACCUCAAGUGAUCCGCCUGCCUCAGCCUCCCAAAGUGCUGGGAGUACAGGUGAUAGCUACCAUGCCUGGCCAAAAUACACCUUUAUAUUUAACAUGCCAAAUGAGGUAGCUUACUGGGCAGACUCUGCCAGGCAGAACCAUCUUUAGCUUCCUUGGCUGCCAGACUGAUGGAUGCUGGAGCUUUUCAGGACACUGGCUCAGACAAGACUACACUCAGCCAUUUCCCACCCCCAAAUUUCAGUUUUCCACCCCGCCCACACCCCCCCCCCACAAAAAACCCAGCAGUUUUUCCUGGCUUCAACAAUGCCACACAAUGUUUCCUUCUGUAGUGGGUUUUGUCCCCAGCUGUCUUGGGCUGUACUGGUGUGGAUCUUCUUACGGCAGCUGAACUCAUUGGUGAAGAAAAGAAACCCCUUGGGCUGAGGCAUCAGAGUUGUGGUGUCCCCUGUCCCAACAGCAUGGCUUUGAUCCCCACGAUGUGGAGUUAAUUUGGUGUUUCCAGUGCCAAUAGGUGUUCAUCAAGCCUUUAUGGGAUGAGCAGAGCCUCUGAGAAGUGAUUCUUGGUCCAUUUUGGGGGAUCUGAUGGAAUCUUUGUUUCCUAUUCCCAGAGAAAUACAACACGGAUUCACACAGACACAAUAGCACACUGUCUUGACACUGUAUUAGGGCACUGUGAAUCUGCUCUCUUACUUACUUUUAGGGGUCCCCUUGGGUGUCACUUUCCUUCCCUGUAGGUUGGCAUCAGCGGUGCCAGUGCCAAGGCAACUCUAGCAUGGAGAGUGAUGGUGAGACACGGUGGUGGAGGGCUUGUGUGUGGUUAUCGGCUGUGGGGACAGUGAUGGGGAAAAGAGUGUGAGCUUCCCCUGUCCGGAGAUGGGGAUGGGCAAAUCAGGACUGAAGGAGGAGGAAAUGGUGG